Lycium barbarum (goji berry) is the source of this 3761-nucleotide long non-coding RNA. RefSeq lists it as uncharacterized. NCBI's taxonomy places the organism in Eukaryota, Viridiplantae, Streptophyta, Magnoliopsida, Solanales, Solanaceae. The record is from RefSeq and is a predicted model, not a curated record. The transcript has 2 exons.
UAAACCGAAUAGCCCCCUCCUAACGUCAUCGCCGCCACCCCACCUCCCAUCACGUCACCUCACCACCACCACGCCCAUAUCCCACAAAAUCCGCUACCUACACCCCUCUUCUCUUUUCUCACACUCCAUCUCUGAAGCUUCCAGGAACCAUGUGCAAAUUCAGCAGAUUUCAUGGAUUCGGAGACUCGACGACGACAUUAGCCUCCAUUCGCUGUCACGGAAAAGGUAAUCACGUUCGUCCUAUCUUCGUCUUAAAUUUUGUUAAAGUAGAAAUGUAGUCGUCGAGCAUUUCUCAUCGUUUAUUUGGUUUAGUUGGCUAGAUUGUGUUGGCUCCUCGUUUGUUGUAAAUUAGUGUAAUGCGACUAAUUUCGUCGAAUAUGUGUUCAACCCCAUCGCUGCUCUUGAAUAAGAUUUUUUUUUAGACAGGAUAAAAUUAGUUUGGUUUAGGGAUGAAGAUUACUGCGUUUGCGCUGUUUUAGUAUAGUUGUUCGUAUGACUUAGCUCUAAUUCAGAUCAGAUUCAGUUAAUGCCAACAUACUUAUGAACUAGAAGCUUUAAGCAAGUUUUCACAAAAAUGCCCAUUUUAGCUUUGUUGUGGGAAUUGGAGUAAGCUCAUGGAUUAGCAGUUCUCUCUAUGGUCCUAAGUGUUGUUUGGUUAAAUUAGUUAGAUUCAUCUAAGAUAAUAUAAGGUGAAUAAUGAUUUACGGUCCAGCAGUUAUUAAGGUUUGAUCAUGGUUCCUGAUUAAGUACAAUUGUUUAAAUACGAUAAGUUUGAUCCCUUGUUCUUGAUAAGCCUAAUCUGAGAUGAUAAUAGGACCAGGCUUAGACCAUAAUCUCACCACUGUAACAAGAUAUUUUGGAACAUUUAACUAGGAUAAGCUCUUGAUAAUAGUCACUAAUGAUGAGAAAUGCUUCCUUUAAAGUGUUUAAAUUCGUAUGUUGGUUUUAACAGUAAAAUUACCUGGCAUGUAUGCCUUUGUGAUUAGUUUCAUUUCAUUUGGAGUCCCUCCUUGUUUGUGUGCUGUGAACCAUGACAAAGUUAAACACAUAUUCUUCCUUUCUUUUAGCAUGAUGAGAUUCAUUACAUUUAUUGCUAAAAGUCAAUCCGUAGUUUUUUUUUUAACUAAAUGCAAUUGUUGACUUUAGCCCUUAUUUGUUUCGUAAGUUUACAAUUGAGGUGCUGAUUAAAUGCUUCAAAACCUGUGAGGUUCAUCACAAAUAUGUGACUAGCUUGAGCGUAUUUUAAGUAAUUUAUCUAUUGUCUUGCAUACAUUAAUAUUCACUGAGUAUCAGGUUUCUGUGUCCGGAUGUUUGAAUCAAGUUUGGCUCCAUACUUAGAAGGGUCUAAGGACAGUCUAAUACCUCCGAUAGCAGCUCUACAUCUAACUUAUUUGAUGGCCAUGUUUAAGGGAUUGAUACUACUGGUUGAGGACUGUAGGUUUUCUUCUGAUUCCUUGAAAAAAAAAACCUUUUUUUUUUAAAUCAAUUACUCUCUGUUGAUUAGACCUCCAAGUAUGACGGUGUUGUUGGGGUCUUUAGCUUGUUUGAAUUCGGAUAGCCUCUGGAAAAGAAUGCCAUUUUUUGUGAAGAAGCUCAUGUUACUUGCUUGGAGUAUACCUAUGAGAAACAUAUAUUAGAAGGGCUGUUGUAUUGUUAUGACCUUGCGUGAAAAAGUUCAGGUUAGUCGCUUGCCUGUGUGGUGCUUGAGUGAUGAAUUUGAUGACGACUUGCUAUACCAAAUUUCUCUGUUUGAUAGUAUCAAAUCUGGCUUAAGUACUUCCCAUUCAUGCUAGUUGUAAAAAAUAUGUCUUUAACUAGUGUUCUUCAAAUAGGCAGAUUCUCAGAUUCUUUAUCUUUGGAGUUAUCACUUAUAUUUGUCUGACUUAUGAUUUUUCAAUAUUCAUAGUUACAUUAUGAGCAUGGUUUGUUGUAUUCAUUUACUCUUAGGUCUUGAGCUUGACUCAUUUUGUCAUCCUAACCACUUUUUCCACUUAGACUGAGUAGGAUUGCCGUUUAAUAGAUAAAGAGGUUUUAUUUGUUUUGGCUGCUGCUUUUGUUGGAAAUUAUUUCCGGAUACUCAUUCUUCUUCACCCUUCCUGUUCUUUGCAUGACUUGGGGAGUUUCAAACCUCAAAUGAUAUCGCAUAUCUGAGGAAGACAUGCUGCUCGUUUGAUUUUCUUAUUGCUGAGUUUUACUUGAGGCUAAAAGUUGCCACAUUUAGAGUCAUUAGCUACUGCGUUUAGGGCACUGCUCUUGCUACCUUUUGAGCAAGCUAAUGCUCAGUGUUGAUUAUUGAAAUGAGCUACAUUCUGAGGCAAUUCGAGGAAAAGAUAUUGUUGUUAUGUUUGUUGCAAUUUUGUUAUCAUGUUGGCUGCCAUGAGUUGCUGUAUUCUUGACCAUUUGCACCGCCUUUGGGAUUUAUUAACUGCGGCAUUUUGGUGGUUCAGUGUUGCUGAGUUUCUGCUGCAAUUUUGGGCCAUUUGUUGCUUCAUUUUUGGCCAUUUACACCUCAGUUUGGGACUGAUUUAGUGCCAGUAUUUUUGUUGCAUGUUGACUGUAUUUUGGGGCUGAAAAAUGCCAUCUUUGAGUGAUUUAGUUGCUGUGCAAUGGCUGCACUAAAGGGCUGAGUUUUCGUUCUAUUUUGAGGCUCAUUCAGGGUUGAAACUGCUGCUAUAUUUAGCUAGUUGUUGUUGAUAUUUUGAACCAAGUUUUGGGCAGCUUUGAGGUCAUAGGCUGUUGGUUAUUAAAGACAAACAGUUGCUGCAUUUUUUAGCUGAAACGCUGCUCUGUUCUUGGCUGUUUGCUGCUGUAUUUUGAGACUUGUUGAGUUGCUGCAUUGUUGAGCUUAUCGUUGUUGGAAUCUUGGACCAGCCUGUGGCUUCAUGUUGGCGAAAAAUAGCUGUUGCUAUACUAAAGGACACAACUACUAUAUCUUUGAAAUGUUAUUUUGAGGGGUUGGCAUCUACCUCUACCUCAAUGCCCAUUAUGAGUUAAUGUCUUGUAUGCUAUAUGCUUGCUGUGGCAUAUUGUAGAAUUGCUGCUGUUAAGUUUGAGGUCAAAAAUUGUUGCCCUAUGAGUGAUUGAGUUGCUGCCCUGUUAAAAUAUAUAUAUAUAUAUAUAAUGAGCAGGUGCUUCAUUCAUUCGAACAGACUGCUACACUUGAAAUAUUCACUGAUAAGAAUAUAUACUACACUGGGGCCGAUGAAAAAAAAUUAAUUUGAGGCCAUGCCUUUGUCCGAAAAGGUUAUCCCUCAGUUUAGGCGUUGAUGACCUCAUAGUAGUAUCAAGAGGUAGGAACGAACAUGCGUUUGGCGAGGCAACUAGAAUGGCCACUAGUCUGCAGCCAAGACAUGUUUCGGAUUCCUUUGCCAUAUUCGGAACCGUAAGUCUGAGCCUCCGUAAUCAAAGCUCUCAAAGUUUGAUACGAGUCCGCGGGAUAUUAUUUAUGUUCCUAAACAUCACCCUAUGGGGUGGCGUAUCAUUUUUUCUAACAUUUUCCUUUCAUAUUUUUGCGAGGUACAAAUAACGCGAGGCAGUAGAACAAAGAUGUACCAAUAGUUGAAGCGAAGAAAUUUGGAAGCACGGCCUGUUUGGCCGAAGAACUAGAAAAGGGGCAAAUAGGGCUCAAGUCUUAAACCUUAUUUAUUUCUAUCUAAAUUUAUGUAUCCAAGUAUUACAUGUAUAUUUGGAUCUAUAACAAAUUGCUAACUUAUUUACUCUGGUUUUCCUUCUUAAUCCAGUUGAAACCCGAAGCUUGCCAA